GUAGGUGGCAAGCGUUGUCCGGAUUUAUUGGGCGUAAAGCGAGCGCAGGCGGAAAAAUAAGUCUAAUGUGAAAGCCCUCGGCUUAACCGAGGAACUGCAUCGGAAACUGUUUUUCUUGAGUGCAGAAGAGGAGAGUGGAACUCCAUGUGUAGCGGUGGAAUGCGUAGAUAUAUGGAAGAACACCAGUGGCGAAGGCGGCUCUCUGGUCUGCAACUGACGCUGAGGCUCGAAAGCAUGGGUAGCGAACAGGAUUAGAUACCCUGGUAGUCCAUGCCGUAAACGAUGAGUGCUAAGUGUUGGGAGGUUUCCGCCUCUCAGUGCUGCAGCUAACGCAUUAAGCACUCCGCCUGGGGAGUACGACCGCAAGGUUG
This 371-nucleotide ribosomal RNA is filed under the name uncultured Lactobacillus sp. RNAcentral's name for it is "bacterial SSU rRNA". It matches the Rfam family "Bacterial small subunit ribosomal RNA", at positions 527 to 896 of the family's 1533-position model. The record is from RNAcentral. Lineage: Bacteria; Bacillati; Bacillota; Bacilli; Lactobacillales; Lactobacillaceae.